Triticum aestivum (bread wheat) is the source of this 666-nucleotide long non-coding RNA. RefSeq lists it as uncharacterized. The record is from RefSeq and is a predicted model, not a curated record. The transcript is spliced from 4 exons. NCBI's taxonomy places the organism in Eukaryota, Viridiplantae, Streptophyta, Magnoliopsida, Poales, Poaceae.
CAUGAUCACCCAAGGAAUCGACACACCCUAAACCCUGAUCGAGAGCUCUUGGUCGAGGUCUCCAUCGCCCCUUCCAUGUGAUGUCGCCCCCUGCCGCAGUCUCGCUAUGGUCUUGGUCUAGGUCUCCAUCGCCUAACCUCUAUGAUGAAGAGAACGCAUCAAGUUAGAUCCAGCGGCAAGAUUUGCAUGCAGGUGAUUAACAUCAUCAAAUUGGCUGCCUCCACAUGUUACACAAAAUUGGGGGCUCUUUCUCCCGGUGCCAUUAGCCUCUGUGUGUAUGUGCGCGCGCGCGUGUUGCAAAUGAUGAAGAGAAUGCAGUGAGUUAGAUCAAGCGGCAAAUUUUAGAAAAGCAAGAUUUCAAUGCAGGGUGCAUUUGGGAAGCUCUUCUCGGCCCCGGCACUGUCGAGGCGGAGGAUGAGGUGAUAAGCUCACGAUUAAGCAACUGGUCUGGUGAUGGAUUAAGCGUGUGAAUAAACUUUUGAUCUGAGGUAACAUUCCUCAAAGGAAGAUUGUGGUCCGUUAACUAAUUAACUAGGCAAGACAAACAACUCACAGAUGUUAGUAGGCGCUAAGUGUUGGUCCAUGAUGGCUGAGAAGCAUAGAUAUAUAAUUAUACCCUCUCAAAUCAGUCAAGCUAUGUGAUCUAUUAUUGUUUGGAUCAUGGAG